Lemur catta (Ring-tailed lemur) is the source of this 240-nucleotide long non-coding RNA. RefSeq lists it as uncharacterized. The record is from RefSeq and is a predicted model, not a curated record. Lineage: Eukaryota; Metazoa; Chordata; Mammalia; Primates; Lemuridae. The transcript is spliced from 3 exons.
GAACAUCCUUCUGCUGCACGCCUGUCAUCGCCUACGCCAAGUGCUCGGAAUGCUUCCCACCUGAGCGCAGCCAGCAGACAGAAGGCUGUCCUGCCUUUCAGAGACAGUUAGCUAACACAUCCGUCGCCAGGUGCAGCUCCGCCUGCUGGCUGCAUUCCCGCUGAAGACACAGAAACUCGAGACAAUCUCCAGCUCGCUUUGAAGAUCUGCACUCCCAGGUUGUCUCAUCCUAGAUUUAAC